CUAAGAGAAAGAUAAAUUAAGGCUAAUUCCAUUAACUCUUCCCUAUUCUUUUCUUUUGAUAAAAGAGUUUUUGAAUCUAAGUUUAUGAGGAAUUUUUGUAUUUAAUUUCUUGUUAAUGAUAUUAAGGUAUUUUAUUAGACCUGAGUUUCAAUUUAGAUUGAUGGGGGGUUUAGCUCAGUUGGCUAGAGCAUCGGCUUUGCAAGCCGAGGGUCAAGGGUUCGAGUCCCUUAACCUCCAUUGGGCAUGUAACCUGGAUUUAGGUUAAGCAUGCUGUUAAGCAAGUUUAUUAAAGGUUAAGAUCUUAACAACUAACAACUAACAACUAACAACUAACAACUAACAACUAACAACUAACAACUAACGGGUGAUUUAUAUAUAUAUAUAUAGGAUGGGAAUAAUCACUAGAAAUAGUAGUUAAUAUUAAAUAAGGUCAAUUAACAAAUUGACCAGUGAAGUUGAGCUUUUAAACUUUCUCUUAUAGGCAAGUCUAGAAUUAAAUUUUGAAAUGAGCGCAACUAUUGUUAUUUGUUGUCAUGCCAUGUAAUAGUGGGGACUCAGAUAGGCUUAUGGUUAUAAGUCGAGUCGGAGAAAGUAAAGAAUUAUGUCGAAUUAUUAUGGCUCUUAUGUUUUGCAAAUUACAUGCAUACUAGAAUGUUUUCUGUAAAGCGAAUCUAAACAGUAAUAUGAAUUAAAAUGUAUAAAUCAGGUUUUAGUUUAGAUUGAAUCCUAAAGCUUGACUUCAUGAAAUUGGAAUUGCUAGUAAUUGUAUGUCAGAAUGAUGCGGUGAAUAUGUUUUUGGGUCUUGUGCACACGUCUGUCAUAUCACCCUAGUUAAUAGCCAUUCAAAAGUUAUCAUUCUAAGCUGUAAGGUGGGAAAUUGUUUAGGGUAUGUUUAGUGUGAGGGGAUGGGUAGAGUCGUAAUAAGAUAGUCGUACUGGAAAGUGUGGCCUGGAUUACCUUUUCUUAAGAAAAGGUAAAACUUUAGAAAAAAUAAAUCUUUAACAAGUGUUUAGUAAUAAUCAGUUUUGCAUUAAAUUGAGCAUUGUUAGUAGUGAUUAUAAUUUUAAAUUUUGAGGUGAACUGUUUUUAUAUUGUUAAAUGUUUGCUUUAAAUCUAAAAUAAUUGCGAUUGUUCACUUUUAAAUUGAGGUUAUAUUUUAAUAUAUCUUAAAUGCAUCUUAAUUUUUAAAUUGACCAAAUGCUUUGCUGUUUUUAUUAGUUAUAGUUUAAAACAGUGUUGCGGCAUUUAUAACAAUGUAGCGCAUUGGGACCAGGAUGAGUUGAACAUCCGACCUCAGGUUUAUCAGACCUGCGCUCUAACCACCUGAGCUAUGAUCCCUUAAUCAUAUUAAUUAUUUACAAAUUUUAUUUUAAUCUUUUGGCUUUGUYAAUAUCUCUURUAUCUUUUCAAGAUACAAGAGAUAUUGCAUAUAGUUUAUAAUUUCUAAUAUAUCUAUCAUUAUCCGCUAUUUUAUAUAAGUGUUUUAUAAAAUUUGUUAAUUUUAUUUUUGCCCGUUUAAAAGUUUAUUAUAAUUGAUGUCGAUUUUUUUUAUAUUGAAAUUGUAUUAUUUUAUUAUGUAAGGUUGUUGUGAGCAAGUUAUAAAGACUUUUAAUACUAUUUUUGUUUUGGAGGUUUUUAAAAUCAUCUUAAGCCUGUUUAAAAGUAGAAAUAUUUUUGUUUUUUAAAGUGCAAUCAAUUUUUAGAAAUAUUUUUUAUUGGUCGAUAGAGCAAUUUAAUAAAUUUUUUAUAAUAUGUCUUUUGUUUUUACUGCUUAGAUAUUUUAGAUUAGUAUUUUCAUGUAAGCUUGUUUAAGUUAGACCAGUUCAACCUUUUUAAUUUGGUUUUCUCCUAUAAGGAUAUAUAUAUAAAAGAUAAUCUAAAAGUGCUAUGAAUGAUUUAUUAUAUAUGAUCAACGGUUGAUUUUUUGAAAAAUGCAAACAUUUUAUUAGCAAUUAUAAUUGAUGGAGUUCAUAAAUAUUCACUUCAAGAAUUAAUCUUUGUUAAUAGAUGGCAUAUUGUCAGACCUUUUAACCAAUUUUAUAUUAUCAAUUAAGAUUUUAAGAAUUUAUUAUUGAAAAUUUUUAAUCAAAAAAAAUAUUAACUGAUCAAGAAUUCUAUUAAAAUAAUUUGUUAGACAUAUUAAACCAUUUUAGUUUUUAUUUUUAUUGUGAGUAAUAUGUUUUUGCAUUUUAAAUGUGUGUUUUGCUAUUUUUUUAUUAUUACCUUGUUUUAAAAUUGAGUUUAUGGAUCGAUGGUUUUUUUUGCAAGACGCUACUACUGUAGCAAGGUUAUUGCUUGGUAAUUUAUUGAUCAGGAAGAUCAAUAAAAAGGAAAUAGUUACCAGAAUUGUUGAAACGGAAGCUUAUAUGGGAAUAACGGAUAGUGCUUGUCAUUCUUACAACAGAAAGAGAACAAAUCGCACAAAUGCUAUGUACAGCAUAGGAGGAUAUUCUUAUGUGUAUUUAAUAUAUGGCAUGCACUGUAUGUUUAAUAUUGUGACUGCAGAUGAAGAUAAUCCACAAGCUGUUUUAAUUAGAAGUGUAGAGCCUAUUUAUCCAUUAUUGAGGGACAAAUGGGCUCUUACUAAUGGUCCUGGCAAGCUUACAAAAUUUUUAAAUAUUGAUUUAACCUUUAAUGAAGUUGAUCUUAUUGGAAAUAAUAAACUUUUUUUGCAAAGAGGGUUUAAUCUAGAUUUCAAUGUAGUUUGUUCAAAAAGAAUAAACAUUGAUUAUGCACAAGAGGAUGAUAUAAACAGGCUUUGGAGGUUUUAUAUUAAAGAUAAUAAAUUUGUUUCAAAGCGUUGAUUUUCUUUUAAGGGCAAUUUAUUGGGAAUAAAUUAUUUGUGAUAUUAUACUUUAAAAGAGAGAUUUAUGUAUGAAUUCUAAUUAUAAAAGAUAUAAAAUGCUGGUUUUUGAUCUUGACGGUACUUUAUYGAACAAUAGUCAUGAGAUUACUUUUUUAACCCUUGAGGUUCUUUUGACUUUGGAGAAAGAUUUUAAAAUAAUUAUUGCAACCGGUAGAAGGUUAAGUGAAGUUAAAAAUAUYAGGAAUCAAUUAAAAGAAAUUAACAUUAAUGAAAAUUAUCUUGUAACGGCGAAUGGAGCUGAAGUUUUUUUGCAAGAAAAUUUAAUUUUUAGACAUGCAAUGAGUUAUGCUUUAGUAAAAGAAAUUCUCAAGAUACAUACAGGCAAUGUUGAUGUUAAUCUUUAUACUUUUGAUACUUGGUAUUCUAAUUCAGAUGUUAAAAGUCCUAUUAUGAAACAUUUUAUUAAAGAUUUAGGUUUAAAUGUUAUUGUUGGAGAUUUGACCAAAUUAAACGUUGAUUCUGUUUCUAAGAUUGUUUAUUAUUGUGACGAUCUAGAAACUCUUAAUAAGCUUGCCAAUGAGAUUAAGAGUAAAGAUUUUCAGGAUAUAAGGAUAUUUUUUUCUUCUAAGGAUUUAUUGGAGGUUACCAAUAUUAAUGCUGAUAAAUAUAAUGCUAUUAAAAAUAUUGCUUUUCUUGAAAACAUUCCAUUAUGUGAUGUUUUAGCUUUUGGAGAUAAUAAUAAUGAUUAUGAAAUGCUUAAAAAUCUUGGCAAAGGGGUUUUAAUGAAAAAUGCUAACGAAUUUCUUAAAAAGAAUUUAGCAAAUAAUGAAAUAACAAAAUUUAGCAAUAAUGAAGAUGGUGUUGCCAGGUUUUUGAUUGAUUUUUUUGAACUUGAUAAUAGUUAUGAAUAAUAAAUAUGAAUAAUUUGUAUCCGAAUGUUUAAUGUAUUUGGUUUGUUUUUAGCAGAAUAUUCUAUUUAAAAAUUUGAAUUUUUUAUUCAUAAUGUAUUUUUAUAAAUAAAUUUAUAAAAAUACUAGGAUAAGUAUUGACAUGGGUUAAACAAAGAUAUAUAUUAUUCUAUGUUGCAUAAACAAAUUGGCAAAAUAGAGAUGGAAGAUAAAAAUAU
RNAcentral lists this unclassified non-coding RNA (3932 nucleotides) under Borreliella japonica. The stretch from base 164 to 237 matches the Rfam family "tRNA". Lineage: Bacteria; Pseudomonadati; Spirochaetota; Spirochaetia; Spirochaetales; Borreliaceae. The record is from RNAcentral.